This 94-nucleotide transfer RNA is filed under the name Serratia fonticola. Its description in RNAcentral is "tRNA-Glu(ctc)". The record is from RNAcentral. Lineage: Bacteria; Pseudomonadati; Pseudomonadota; Gammaproteobacteria; Enterobacterales; Yersiniaceae.
UUUAUCGCUGGUCACCGGCAGAGUCGCGAUACCGUUCUCGUCGGUAGUCACCGUCUGCUGACGGGUUGAACCGUCCGGCUCGGUCACGGUAAAG